This 52-nucleotide non-coding RNA is filed under the name Homo sapiens (human). Lineage: Eukaryota; Metazoa; Chordata; Mammalia; Primates; Hominidae. The record is from RNAcentral.
ACUAAAAAUACAAAAAAUUAGCCAGGCAAAAGGCAGGAGCCUGUAAUUCCAG